AAGAAAUUAGUUUAUUUAUAGAAUUUGUAAUUGUAAAUUAUAAGGAUAUUUUCUUG
This 56-nucleotide transfer RNA is filed under the name Passalurus ambiguus. RNAcentral describes it as "tRNA-Tyr". Lineage: Eukaryota; Metazoa; Nematoda; Chromadorea; Rhabditida; Oxyuridae. The record is from RNAcentral.